UACUUAAACCGCAGUUAUGUUUAUUUAUUUAUUAUUUUCACUUAGUGUCUAAACUCAUUUUCACUCAACCCUACUCCCCGGUUAUUCACGAGCCUUUGUUCACGUUUUUCUCCUUCAGCAUCUCUGUACUCAUUUUCCCCAACCCUAUUCCUUCAGUUUCUCUGGACUUCAAACAAGAUGUGGAGUUGUCGCGCAAGGAGCAUGGUAAGGGAAGAGGUUUUUCUCUCAUCUGUUUCAGGUUCGGGUUCGUUUUUGGUAGAGAGGAGAGGCAAGUUUCGGCGGCCAGACGCGACCUCCAUCCUCACGGCACGGUGGGUACCACAGCAGUGACAUCUUCGCGGCGCGCGGGGGUCUGCGAUUUUAUGGCGACGAGCUUCGCGUUUCUGAUAGGGUAGCUUUGGCAAAACAGAGAGUUGAUGAAUAUAUUUACUCUCAGUUGAUACAACAGAUUGGCACCCAACAGUCAGCUAUUACAGAAGGUUACCUGAUGAUUGCCGGGAAAGAAGGGGAUUUGGCUUAAAUUGUCUUUAGAGAAGUCUGACCUAGUUCCAAUAGCUAUUAAGGCAAAGAAGUGGAACACAUUUGCUGGAAACUUACAAGAUUGCUCCUGACUACAGGUAUUUGAAAAAGGAAGCAUAUCAAAGGAUGGAUAAAAUGAAGAAGUACCAAAGGAUGGAUAAAAUGAAGAAGUACAAAACUAUAAUUAUUAUUCAUAACAUUUAAUUUUAAUUUUUAAGAAACAUUAAUUGUAUUUCUAAUGUUUACAAUUUAUAUAAUAAUAUUUUGGUUUAUAUUUAA
Molecule: long non-coding RNA, 798 nt
Organism: Vigna angularis (adzuki bean)
Lineage: Eukaryota; Viridiplantae; Streptophyta; Magnoliopsida; Fabales; Fabaceae
Exons: 5
Source: RefSeq, a predicted model, not a curated record